GGGUAGGGUGGCCGAGUAGGCGGCAGGCUGUAGUCCUGUUUACGGGGCAGGCGCCCCCCCAAUCUA
This 66-nucleotide transfer RNA is filed under the name Cyrtodactylus macrotuberculatus. RNAcentral's name for it is "tRNA-Tyr". Lineage: Eukaryota; Metazoa; Chordata; Lepidosauria; Squamata; Gekkonidae. The record is from RNAcentral.